Molecule: ribosomal RNA, 252 nt
Filed under: uncultured bacterium
Lineage: Bacteria
Description: partial 16S ribosomal RNA
Rfam family: Bacterial small subunit ribosomal RNA
Source: RNAcentral
UACGGAGGAUGCGAGCGUUAUCCGGAUUUAUUGGGUUUAAAGGGUGCGUAGGCGGACUGUCAAGUCAGCGGUAAAAUUGAGAGGCUCAACCUCUUCCCGCCGUUGAAACUGGUGGUCUUGAGUGGAUGAGAAGUACGCGGAAUGCGUGGUGUAGCGGUGAAAUGCAUAGAUAUCACGCGGAACUCCGAUUGCGAAGGCAGCGUACCGGCAUCCAACUGACGCUGAGGCACGAAAGCGUGGGGAUCAAACAGG